RNAcentral lists this unclassified non-coding RNA (21 nucleotides) under Mus musculus (house mouse). RNAcentral describes it as "oocyte_clustered_small_RNA10686". Lineage: Eukaryota; Metazoa; Chordata; Mammalia; Rodentia; Muridae. The record is from RNAcentral.
AUGCCGAUGGAGCGCAGGAUG